RNAcentral lists this ribosomal RNA (504 nucleotides) under uncultured bacterium. RNAcentral's name for it is "bacterial SSU rRNA". It matches the Rfam family "Bacterial small subunit ribosomal RNA", at positions 140 to 660 of the family's 1533-position model. The record is from RNAcentral.
GGGAUAACAGUUACGAAGAACUGCUAAUACCGCAUGUGGUUAUCGGAUUUAGAAACUGAUAACUAAAGGAGCAAUUCGCUUUGGGACGGGACCUGCGUCCCAUCAGCUAGUUGGUGAGGUAAUGGCUCACCAAGGCUACGACGGGUAGGGGACCUGAGAGGGUCGACCCCCACAAUGGAACUGAAACACGGUCCAUACACCUACGGGUGGCAGCAGUAGGAAUAUUGCACAAUGGGCGAAAGCCUGAUGCAGCAACGCCGCGUGUGCGAUGAAGGCCCUCGGGUCGUAAAGCACUUUUCUGAGAGAUGAGCAAGGACAGUAUCUCAGGAAUAAGUCUCGGCUAACUACGUGCCAGCAGCCGCGGUAAAACGUAGGAGGCAAGCGUUAUCCGGAUUCACUGGGCGUAAAGCGCGUGCAGGCGGUUCGGUAAGUUGGGUAUGAAAUCUCCUGGCUUAACUAGGAGAGGUUAUCCAAUACUACCGGACUUGAGAGUGGUAGAGGAAG